GACGAACGCUGGCGGCGUGCUUAACACAUGCAAGUCGAACGAAGUGGCGAACGGGUGAGUAACGCGUAAUCAACCUGCCCUUCAGAGGGGGACAACAGUCGGAAACGACUGCUAUUACCGCAUACUGAAGGAGGGGAUUGCGUCUGAUUAGCUAGUUGGAGGGGUAACGGGCCACCAAGGCGAUGAUCAGUAGGCGGUUUGGGAGGAUGAACGGCCACAUUGGGGCUGGGACACGGCCCAGAAUCCUACGGGGGGCAGCAGUGGGGAAUCUUUCGCAAUGGACGAAAGUCUGACGGCGCAACGCACCGUGAGAGAUGAUGGCCUUCGGGUUGUAAAGCUCUGUUAGUCGGGACGCGGUACCGGAAUAGAAAGCCACGGCUAACUACGUGCCAGCAGCCGCGGUAAUUC
This 408-nucleotide ribosomal RNA is filed under the name uncultured bacterium. RNAcentral describes it as "partial 16S ribosomal RNA". It matches the Rfam family "Bacterial small subunit ribosomal RNA", at positions 28 to 526 of the family's 1533-position model. The record is from RNAcentral.